AACGAACGCUGGCGGCAGGCCUAACACAUGCAAGUCGAAAGCCCUAGCAAUAGGGAGUGGCAGACGGGUGAGUAACACGUGGGAACGUGCCCUUCGGUUCGGAAUAACUCAGGGAAACUUGAGCUAAUACCGGAUAAGUGCGAGAGCAGAAAGAUUUAUCGCCGAAGGAUCGGCCCGCGUCCGAUUAGCUAGUUGGUGAGGUAAUGGCUCACCAAGGCGACGAUCGGUAGCUGGUCUGAGAGGAUGACCAGCCACACUGGGACUGAGACACGGCCCAGACUCCUACGGGAGGCAGCAGUGGGGAAUAUUGGACAAUGGGCGCAAGCCUGAUCCAGCCAUGCCGCGUGAGUGAUGAAGGCCCUAGGGUUGUAAAGCUCUUUCGCCAGGGACGAUAAUGACGGUACCUGGAUAAGAAGCCCCGGCUAACUUCGUGCCAGCCGCCGCGGUAA
This 449-nucleotide ribosomal RNA is filed under the name uncultured bacterium. Its description in RNAcentral is "partial 16S ribosomal RNA". It matches the Rfam family "Bacterial small subunit ribosomal RNA", at positions 29 to 523 of the family's 1533-position model. The record is from RNAcentral.